UCUUGCUGGAGAUCCAUGCACACCCAAGGUCUUCUGAAGAAUCACAGAACCAUUUGAGACAGAGGGGACCUUUGGCCAUCUGGUCCAGUGGGACCUGCAGUGCAGAGGGACACCGACAGCUCCAUCAGGGCUCAGAGCCCUGUCCAGCCUGACCUUGGGGCUCUCAUCAAGAACAUCCCACCUGUUUGCCAUCUUCACAUCCAAGGGUGGACGUCUUUAAGAGACCUCAGGCCCUCAGACAGCCCUCUGCAGCCUCACAAGCAUUUCUGGGAACAGCAGAAAUGUUCGUGGCUGCAGUGACCUACAGGCAAACAGCAAAGGAUGUUUGUAGAAACUAAAUUUCACAUGCAGUCACAUCAGGAAUCGAAUCGAAAGGAUUAGAUCACCCCAUCAAAGAGCUAAAACAAUAUCCUGCCUCAUACACCCGAUCAGGAGCAAUCAGCAGGGCUCUAAAUUUUGUGUCUGCUUAUAACAAACUGCCCAUAAACAAGCUGCAGACCUAGGCAGGAACUUCAGAUAACAAAUGAAUUUGAGCAAAUCUCAGCAACAGCUCCUGGACAACUUGCAAACAGAGAGGAAACUAAAUUAAUCAGAUAAAUGAUUUGCUCAGCUCUGGUGGAAAAUGUCAAACACUUCAAAACUAACCUUUUGGAUUGCUCUUCCCGGAUCUAUUUAAGAUUUCUGCCUUUUGCAUUUGUCAACAGAGCGAGGAAGCAAGUGUGUUUCAAUAAGGGCGAUGUGCCACUCACAGCACGUAGUGCUGGCCCUGUACUGACCAAACCCUUUCUGUGAGCACGUCUGAUGCACCAAAGUGAGUGCUUUGCUGUAUGGGAGCAUGGGUUCCUUGCUUGGCAUGCAGCCCUUUGCUGCUGUGUAUGUGGAGAUAGCUUCACCAUGAGCACAGGUGCAAGGCCCAAUUAUACUCCAUGCACGGGGACGCCUUGUUACGCAGCACGCCAGCCUUGCUCUGCCAUGUAUUGAUCAGGCAGGGGUGCAUUUGGUGCAGAGAUGUCUCUUGGCUGGUUGAAAUACAGGGCGUUCAAUGUUUAUUAUGUUCUCAACAAAGUCUGUUAUCAGCAAGUUUGAAGUUUGUUGCUAUCUCCCAGCGUCUUAGACUAAUCACUGUAAUGAAGGCAUUGAACGGAGCCCUUCUCAGGUGGCAUUUACCAUUGUUUGCUGCAGAUAACAUAAAGCUUUCUGAUUACAGUCGGCUUUUAUCACUUCAGAGCAAAUCUACUCUACUGAAAUGUGCUAAUAAAACCCACGGAAGCAACAAACUGGAAAGAAGUGUUACAGCAAUAAAGGAACAUGAGGGAAAAUGUACGGCUUUUGCCGCUGUUAUCAUUUUCAAUUUAUUAAGAUCUAACCAUUUUUGUAAUACGGAGCUAUUGCUGGGGGUUAAUUUAAUCUUCUAUAAUACCAGGUUCAGGUCAGUUUUCAGUGUCAAUUUAGAUGCGAUGCAUAUUUUUGCGUUAGAAUCAGAGAAACACCCUCCACGGCCCCAUGACCACCAUAUGCUUUCAACAAUCCGAGUGUAAAUGCCCAGCGCUUCACACGUCUGCUUUAUGAGAUUAGCUCCAGCCCUUAAACACACAAGUCCCAUCAAAAGCACCUGACGUCACGGCUCCAAGGACGAGCAGCUCCUGGAUGCGAUGCAGUGACGCUGAGUUAUGAGCUGGAGCCAUCCAUCGCUGCCCUCAGCCAACCGCCGUGUAUUUAUCUGCUGCCUUUCCCUCUAAAUGGUCCCAGAAGCAGAUUAGAAAACUGCCAGGCUAAAUCUUGAGUUCUUCAUUCCAUCUGUGCCGAAGACGGCAGUUCUUCUGCGUGUAGAAGGGCAAUGUAAAACCCAGUAAAGGUUUUAUGCUGCCACUAGGGAGGCUAAAGACAGCAGCUCAGCAAUGUACAUAAAACACAGAGGGGAAAACUGGAUCCAAAUACUUGGGCCAAAAGAAGUGGGACAAUCAGUGUCUUCCAUGUCUGUGCAUGGGAGACAGGGUAUUAAUUAUCGAGAACUCUUCUCCAUAAUCCCGCUAUGCAAAUAACAUCAAUCUGUGCACUGCAUGAGGAUGCUGAAAGGUUAGGAUUUCAUAUGCCUUUCUGUUCAGGUCAUCUGCAAAUCAAGGGCAUCAAACUCUUCUGCAUCCCACCUCCCUGAUGGUUUCCUGGUUCGGUCCAGCUGACUCAUGAUUUCUCAUGUUGGUGUCUUUCCUGCUUUUACCCUUUGAUGUGUUUCUGUGCAGCUAAAGCAUUCACCUCACCAGAGGGGCUGAAGAGGAGAAGCACAUUAGCAGAGUACUCUUCUCUUCUUUGGAGCUGUGUAGGCCUUUACAAGUGCUGAGUAGAAGGAAACACCAAGCCCAGAAGCUUCAUCUGUUGCAGCACAGCCCUGUGUGCAUGCAGAUACUCAAAGCACAGAGUGCUCACUCUGUUCCAGUCCCCACUCGUGUUCAAGUUGCUCAUGAACUCCAUGCUCAGCCUGCAACUGGCUCCCUCCUAAUGGAGCAGAUGGGGAAACUGAAUCUUCAAAGGAUCAGUGACAAGUGAUUUAGUGAGGUCAUAUAGGACUGAAUGGACAGAGACUGAAUUUAAAUCUGAAGAACUCAUGUUCUUUUGCUGCUCUCUCUGGACUCCAAUGAGGGGCUGAAACAGGGUGCCAAGGGCGUUAGAAU
Molecule: long non-coding RNA, 2669 nt
Organism: Gallus gallus (chicken)
Lineage: Eukaryota; Metazoa; Chordata; Aves; Galliformes; Phasianidae
Source: Ensembl